UCCGGAUGUCGCUUCAAAAGUAUUUAACGAUCUCACACAUCAUAAGGGGCACCCCCUGUCACGCCCAAUAUGCGACCCUAUCCAAAAGGAACUCGAAGGUCCCACCAAGGAUAGACCCGCAUAUUGAAACGCUUUGCAAGGUGGAUAUCAUUACAUCAACAUUACAUAAUAGAUGGGGAUACAUACAUAAGGAUUACAAUGCCACACGAAUACAACAUCACAAUACAUAAGAGCAUCAUCCGUCUACGGAUGAAUCACAAACAGAAACUCAAACGACAUCCACCCUGCUAGCCCAGGCUGCUGACCUGGAACCUAUCCCCUGAACGAAGAAGAAGCAGAAGAAGAACUCAACGCAAGCAAGCAUCGCUCUCGCGUCAUGAUCAUCGCAUAAACCUGUACCUGCAACUGUUGUUGUAGUAAUCUGUGAGCCACGAGGACUCAGCAAUCCCAUUACCAUGGGUAUCAAGACUAGCAAAGCUUAAUGGGAAAGGAAGGGGGAAAAUGGUGAGGCUGCAACAGCGACUAAGCAUAUAUGGUGGCUAACAUAUGCAAACAAGAGCGAGAAGAGAGCAAGCAGAACGGUCGUGAAGCUAGCAAUGAUCAAGAAGUGAUCCUAAACUCCUACUUACGUCAAACAUAACCCAGAAACCGUGUUCACUUCCCGGACUCCGCCGAGAAGAGACCAUCACGGCUACACACGUGGUUGAUGCAUUUUAAUUCGGAUCUGGUGUCAAGUUAUCUAAACCGGACAUUAACAAAUUCCCAUCUGCCUAUAACCGCAGGCACGGCUUUCAAAAGAUUAUACCCUGCAGGGGUGUCCCAACUUAGCCCAUGACAAGCUCUCGCGAUCAACAGAGGAAUAGACCUUCUCCCAGGAAGACCCGAUCAGACUCGGAAUCCCGGUUUACAAGACAUUUCGGCAAUGGUAAAACAAGACCAGCAAAGCCGCCCGAUGUGCCGACAAAUCCUGAUAGGAGCUGCACAUAUCUCGUUCUCAGGACACACCGGAUGAGCAAGACGACGGGUUGGCAUAGACCCUGGUUGCCCAGGGGGCGCCGGACAUCGCUCGGUUUGGACCAACACUUAGACAAGCACUGGCCCAGGGGGGCUAAAAUAAAGAUGACCCUCGGGCUCCGGAAACCCAAGGGAAAAAGGGCUAGGUGAGGCAAAUGGUAAAACCAAUGUUGGGCCUUGCUGGAGGAGUUUUAUUCAAAGCGAACUGUCAAGGGGGUCCCAUAAAUCACCUGACCGCGCAAGGAACGCAAAAUCCGGGAACAUAACACCGGUAUGACGGAAACUAGGGCGGCAAGAGUGGAACAAAACACCAGGCAAAAGGCCGAGCCUUCCACCCUUUACCAAAUAUGUAGAUGCAUUAAUAAUAUAAGAGAUAUUGUGAUAUCCCAACAAAAUCCUGUCCACCAUGGAGCAAUCUUCAACUUCACCUGCAACUAGCAACGCUAUAAGAGGGCUGAGCAAAGCGGUAACAUAGCCAAGCAACGGUUUGCAUAGGUAAGGUGUCAAAGGAUAGAGGUUCAUGGCAAUAUGGGAUGGCUUGAUAAACAGGUAAUAGGUAGCGCAGCAUAGCGAUAGAACGAAGCAACUAGCAUAGCAAUGAUAGUAGUGAGAUCCAGGGUAGCGGUCAUCUUGCCUGAAAUCCCGCAAGGAAGAAGAACGAGUCCAUGAAGUAGACGAACCAACGUAGUCG
RNAcentral lists this long non-coding RNA (1705 nucleotides) under Triticum aestivum (bread wheat). RNAcentral describes it as "long non-coding RNA (TAES_LNC003200)". Lineage: Eukaryota; Viridiplantae; Streptophyta; Magnoliopsida; Poales; Poaceae. The record is from RNAcentral.